This 443-nucleotide long non-coding RNA is filed under the name Hordeum vulgare. RNAcentral describes it as "long non-coding RNA (HVUL_LNC019401)". The record is from RNAcentral. Lineage: Eukaryota; Viridiplantae; Streptophyta; Magnoliopsida; Poales; Poaceae.
AAAGGAAUGGAGUUAUCAAGAGACUUAUACUGGAAACUUCAAAUACUAGGCUGGAGAAGAACAACAACAAUAACAAGUAACAAUGCAAUGUCUUGGAAAUAACACUACACACCAGGUACCUCUAAGAAUUUAUAGACAACAUAAAUAUAUGGAUUGUAUGGUGAGUAGAGCAUGUUUAGGAACAUGGAAUAGAGGUCGACGUUCCAAGUGCACAUGGUUAUCAAGACUCAACGUGGUCAGACGUUGUCCAGGGUCUCGAGCGCAUGGUGGAAGAAAUGGAGGAAACCGCUAUAGGGCACUAGUUGGCGCAGAUGUAUGACGCUCAUGUGUGUUUUUGUAAUUCUUCAUCUACUUGCAGACGAGCUAUGACGCUUCUAAUCUAUAUUUACUACUGCACUAUUCUCUAUUAUCACAAUGACUCCAUGCUGUCAUGUAGCGGAAGA